GGGAUUUGAACCACUGUAGUCACCUUGAUUGUCCAGCAGCUUAUCCACUAGACCACGGAGCUCACUAGCAUGUUAUGUAGUUAGUAAUCUUGGAUAACACAAUUUACUCCAAGGUAGAUAAAUAGAUCUGGAAAAAUUGGUUCUAUGUUAACAUGACAAUAAAAAUCAGUAUUGUUAAAAGUUAAAUGUUCAGCUUACUAAUACAUGAUAAAUUUACUAUGUUAAUUAUUUUUAAAAGAAAAUUAAAUUUCCAUUAAUAUUUGUGAUCAGCUUACCUAAAUAUAUUACCAUAGUUAAGUAUACUUGAAUAUGAUGAGUUAAUCACCAUGUAUAAAGAAAUUAUUAAUAUAUAUUAUAAUAUAAACUGUAGGCAAAAACUAUUUUUUCCUUAGUGCUAACUUUUAUUUAAACUAUAUUCAGAGCACUGUACAGUGAUAUUGUCACGGUCAAGGUCAUUGUAAACUUGAAUGAUCGAGUAACAGCUAUGUAACAGCUUAGUUUAAGUAAAGUAAACGACCAAAAUUCUUAUUCUCUAUUACAUACAGUUUGUAGGUUGUACUAUAUCAAUUAUAAACUAAAUAGCGGCAAUGUUAAUGCAUGUGGUUUAAAAAAAACUAUUAUGCAAUAUAUCAAACAGGUUUGUAAAAUUCCAUUUUUAGUCAAAACAAAAUUCCACUGGGAAUAUUUAGGAAUUGACGGGAAUUUUGUGGAACUUUCGGAGAAUUUGGAAAUUUAAAAAAACAAACAUUUUUUAAUAUAACACUGAUCUAUUCAAUACUUCUUUUCCAGCUUGAUAUUACUAGUAUAAUAAAAAAUGAUUAAAAUAACAGCUAAAUUGACGAUUAACUCAAUAACUGAAUUUUAAUUAGUCUGGUCAAGAUGUACCAUUUUCUAGCUUGAUGUUACUGAUAUAAUAACGAAUUAUUAAAAUGACAGUCAAAUUAAUAAUUAACUCAAUAAAUGAAUUUUGAUUAGCCUGGUCUGGAUGGACCAUUUUCCAGCUUGAUGUUACCAAUAUAAUAAGGAAUUAUUAAAAUGACAGUUAAACUGACGACUAGGUCAGUAACUGAAUUUUAAUUAGCCUAGUCAGGAUGGACCAUUUACCAGCUUGAUGUUACUGAUAUGGGCUUAAUAACCAAUGAUUUAAAUGACAGCUAUAUUGGCAAUGAACAGAAGAAGAGUAUUUUAAUUAGCCAGGUGAGGGUGGACCACGUGACGCAGUCAGAUCUAAUAACCAAUGAUUUAAAUGACAGCUGUAUUGGCAAUGAACAGAAGAAGAGUAUUUUAAUUAGCCAGGUGAGGAUGGACCACAUGACGCAGUCAAAUCAUUGGAUGGUAGUGAUGAUGCACUUUACUGAUUGGCUUGGACAUUUGUUAAUGUUUUGGGGGAAACUUGGAACAUGUUUCGUGUGUUUCUAUUGUCUGGUAAUAUUUUUGUCACAUAACUGUUAACAGUAUUUGUACAGGUACACUUCUUUUCCAUAUUGGUUUAAAAAAAAUUGGCAAUGGUGAAAUGUUUUCAUACAUCUGAAUGCCCACGUGGCGUGGUAUAAUUGACCAAAUUUUAAUAUGCCAAUGUAGUAUUGUUAGUAAAUGCAAUAAACACUCAAAAUGUCACAAUGCUGCUCAUAUUUGGCAUCAUGGAGAUUCCCACAUUAAACACAAAUAAUUGUGUUAUUAAUACUGAGAAAACCUUUAGCAUACAUAUAUCAGUGUGGAGUUCAGCUUCAUGCUUGGCCAAUAAUUAAAAAAAUAAUAUAAUUAAAAUAUUGCUAAUGUUCUUAGGAAUAAAGGUUUUUGUGAAAGGUUUUACAAUGCUGUUAAUUAUGAUAUUAGGUUUAAUGUUCUUAAUGUUAACAAAAUCAUUAAUGUGCACAAUUAAAAUUCCUGACCCAUCCAUAUUCCCCGAAACUUUCCAUGGAAAGUUCCAAUCCUUUACAUCCCUAAUCAACAAAACUACAACCCACAUAUAUUACUACAUCAUACAUAGUGUAUAUAACUUCCGAAUGGUUAAUGUCAAGUCACGUGAUCUUAGUUUCAGAUCAUAUUGCUUUGGUUCUCUUUGCUAGGAAUGACGUCAUAUUUCACGUCAUACGUCAUACUACAACAUACUACCUCUUGCUAUAGUACAUGUAUAUAAAACACUUGAUAUAGCGCAUGUAUAUAAAACAUUUAAAUAAAUUAGUUACGUAAUAAAACAAUUAUGGCACAAUUGUGAGACCGCUGUGUUUUAUGGAAUUCAUUGUUGUUUUGUUGGGGUGGGUUUUUUUAGGGGGAGUUCGGUUGUUUGUUGCUUAUUUUCGCUCCAUAAAAUAUAUCGGCUUCAUGACAAUGUCAUAAUUGUUUAAUACUACACACCUUCCCCAAAGUAUUAACGGAAGAAAGUGGAACCUUCCAUGGCCAAUGUUUUAUACAACUGUAUGUUUUUAGAACACCCUUAGUUUUGGACAAUUUUUACAGGUACCCUAUACAUAUUUCAAGCUCAGUGGUACUUGAUACAUUGGCACUAGAUGCAACAAAAUGUAUAUAUAGUCAAGGCCAAGACAAAACAAUUGUUUUGACAACACAUACUGUCACAUUCAUCACCUAUGGCAGGACUUAUAGUAUUAAAUGCGCUAUCAAACGCAGAGUGCAUUUCGAACUUUGACCUAGUCGGGUGUUGUCUGGUAUAGUGCUACCUUGAGAGCUGCUAUAUAGAAUAUGGUGAGCUGCAUAAGCGAUAUUCAGCACACGUUAACACUUUAGUAGAAGUCCUACUAUUUGAAAGAAAUAAGAUUCACAUAAAUAUAUGAUUUUUAUUAUCUGUAGAACCAAGAAUAAGUCUACUUUUAUUUGCUGCUAAUCUCAAAUGUAACUUGUUGUUUUGUUUUUCACCUACACGACUGAGAUAUGAAAAGAACAAAUAUAACACAAUUUUCAUAUAUUGCAAUAUAUAAUUGAAAUAUAAACACAGGAUCUUUAUUGUAGAAAGUAGGUCAGACUAAACAAGCUACACCAGUCAGUAGCUGGUUCGAGUGAUGAGCAUGUACUGUUGCUCGUCACGUAGCAUGGCUUGGCUUACAUGACGACACUCAAAGGUUGAAGGUCAUCAAGGUAGCUUCAUACAUCACGGACAGUCUUAUUGCAAAACUACUUAGGAAAAAUAACGCAUACACACAAUUAAGGAAACGUUCAGUGUUUUUAAAGGUUUUAAUGUCAAAAGGGAACAAGUUAACAAUAUAUCUAACCGACUUAUAAUGGGUAAUUAAAACAAAUCACAAAUAUUUUGCAAUUGUUGUAUUUAAUUUUGCUAAUAAGAGGCUUGUUUUGUUUUUAUUUGAAGCAGAAGCAACGAAAUGUAUCUCAGAUUAAGCCGAAUCUUC
RNAcentral lists this long non-coding RNA (3362 nucleotides) under Gigantopelta aegis. RNAcentral describes it as "uncharacterized LOC121369372". The record is from RNAcentral. Lineage: Eukaryota; Metazoa; Mollusca; Gastropoda; Neomphalida; Peltospiridae.